RNAcentral lists this ribosomal RNA (256 nucleotides) under uncultured bacterium. Its description in RNAcentral is "partial 16S ribosomal RNA". It matches the Rfam family "Bacterial small subunit ribosomal RNA", at positions 521 to 776 of the family's 1533-position model. The record is from RNAcentral.
UAAGACAGAGGUUGCAAACGUUGUUCGGAAUUACUGGGCAUAAAGCGCACGUAGGCGGUUCGUUAAGUCAUGUGUGAAAUCCCCCGGCUCAACCGGGGAAUUGCGCCUGAUACUGGCGAGCUAGAGAUCGAUAGGGGUAAGCGGAACUCCAGGUGGAGCGGUGAAAUGCGUAGAUAUCUGGAGGAACACCGGUGGCGAAAGCGGCUUACUGGAUCGAAACUGACGCUGAGGUGCGAAAGCUAGGGUAGCAAACGGG